Molecule: long non-coding RNA, 401 nt
Organism: Uloborus diversus
Lineage: Eukaryota; Metazoa; Arthropoda; Arachnida; Araneae; Uloboridae
Exons: 3
Source: RefSeq, a predicted model, not a curated record
GUCAGAUAGCCCCAUAUAAGGUAUGAACUGCACACUGCAGUACGGCGUUGACUUUGGUUCUAAGAAAUUAUUCUCUUCUCAUCGUUGUGCCACCAAGGAGUUCCAAGAUGAAAUUCUUUAAUUUGAAGUUCUUGUUCGUUUUGCUUCUGGCUCUCUUGACGGUAUCUGCAACUGUAGCUUACAAACGCUACUAUGGAUAUCGCAGAUAUGGUGGGGGUGGUCAUUAUUACAAAAGAGUAUACUAUUACCCUCGAUAUAAAUACCACAGAGGAUAGUAUUCUUGCUGCGAUAUUUGGACAAAAGCCUGCAUUCAGACAUCAGUUCAGAAGAUUUCGAAUGAAAGGCAUCUCUCAUUGUAUCAUUGGUUUAAACUUGUAGAAAUAAAUAGUUUUGCUUCUACA